This is a long non-coding RNA of Fukomys damarensis (Damara mole-rat), 376 nucleotides long. RefSeq lists it as uncharacterized. The transcript is spliced from 3 exons. The record is from RefSeq and is a predicted model, not a curated record. NCBI's taxonomy places the organism in Eukaryota, Metazoa, Chordata, Mammalia, Rodentia, Bathyergidae.
UGAAAAGCGAACCGUGGCUCGGCCCCAUUUCCCGCUCUGGUUCAGGCGCAGGAGGAAGUGUUUGCUGGAGGAUGAUGACAGAGGGACCCCGGCGUUGCUCUCGCGCUCCAGCCUUGCCGCAGCGUCCGUGGAGAAAACUCUCACGAGCAACUCCUCACGGGCUCCGUGCCUGCCAGCCGUUGUGGUCUUUAAGCAGCGGCACCAGAAAAAACUCAAAAAGCAAACGAGCAACCAAAAAUCCCCCAGCCCCACAAAAGUCUUGACAGGACUCGGGCCGCCAGCGAGCCGGGAUGCCUCCGAAAGGGGGAAGACUUUAGGGGCGCGCAGAUGUGCAAAGCCCCUUAUUCGGAGAGCAGACUGCCGUCCCUGAUUUCAG